Molecule: long non-coding RNA, 4091 nt
Organism: Toxorhynchites rutilus septentrionalis
Lineage: Eukaryota; Metazoa; Arthropoda; Insecta; Diptera; Culicidae
Exons: 3
Source: RefSeq, a predicted model, not a curated record
UAUAAUUUCAAGUUCCAGUUCAUAAGGUUUAAAAUAAAAAGUUCAACCAAAAGUUCGCCGCGUGCUUUUUCGUCCGAUUGACGGUGUCUAUCCGUAAACGACUCACACGUAGAAGCAGUCGAAGUCGCCGCCACCGGUCCAACGAAGACAAUCGGUAACAACUAAAAUGAUGCGACAAAAUUCAGGACCAGUUCCUCGUAUCGGCUGUUUUGAGUGUCGUCUCGACUGAUUUUUGAAGAGGAUUGAUUAUUUCUCGGUGGUACAUCGUGAUUUUCGUAUCCUGUUGCAGUCAACAAAAAACUGGGUCGCGCGCAUAUUUGCACGGACACACAGCGGACGGCCAUCCACAAAAUGUCCAAGGCAAGCCUUCGAUCGUCAAAAAAACCGAAACGACUGGAGGCCCAAGGAAAACGACCGCGAAAGAUCUUCUUCUUCUUCUUAAAUGGCACUAACGUUCCUAGAGGAGCUGCGCCGUCUCAACGUAGUAUUACUUGCGUCAUUUUUAUUAGUAAUUAGUUGAAAUUUCUAUGCCGAAUAACACACCUUGAAUGCAUUCUGAGAGGCAAGCUCUAGAAUACGCGUGACCACAGUGCAAGUUGAAGGAAAUUUCUUUGACGAAAAAUUCGCCCGACCAAAACGGUAAUCGAACCCGAACCCCCGGCAUGUGAGGUUUGACGCUAACCACUCGGUCACGGGAGCACGACCGCGAAAGAUGACUCUGCCAUAAAGCGAGCCUCCAAGAAAGAUCCCUUCAAGGUAUCGAAAAAAAUCCGGGAUAAAUUAAACUUGUCCUUGAGUUCGCGGACAGUUCAGCGGUGGCUGGUGGAACAGGGGGUAGGUGGUAAAAGCCCCCCGAUGCUAACGCUGAAGCAUCUGAAGGUGCCUCUGAAAUUCUGAAAUAAGAUCAUGGAUCAGUACCUCUACGCCUAAAUCCUAAGGUACUAGUGGGAGAUGGUAGUUAACGCAGGAUAACGAUCCGAAGCACACCUCCAAAAUCGUAAAAAAGUGGCACCAGGAUAACAAAGUCGACAUCAUGGAGGGGCCAGCGCAGUCACCGGAGCUGAACCCUAUAGAGAACCUAUCGGAGAUCGUGAAAAGGUCGGUGCGCACGGAAGAGUCGAAGAAUAAGCAGCAACUGUGGGAUAGGAUCCAAGCUUGUUGGUAAGCCAUUCCGGCACCAUGAUGCGUAACAAAGGUUACACGACCAAGUACUAACCCUAGAAGCUUAUCACGGAAUGAAUUUUCUUUUUUUUUAUUAUUUUUACCAUGAAUUUUAAAGCGCCUUCGCGAGUGUGACACCGCAUCGAACCACAGCGAAGUAGGCGAUUUCGGCGCGUCGGUCGAAAAUGUAAACGCCGUUACCCAGGCAGCAAACAAAAUCAAGCUCCCCCCGCUCUUGACAAACACAUCAGCGAAUUCGCAUCGAUGGGUGUUACAGCAGAGUACAAGUUGUGUGGCAUAAUUCAGGCUUUUUCCAAGCAGUUAACAUUGUUUGUUUUCCGUCACCAUAAGGGCUUCGUUGGUGCCUUUGGUGCACCAAAAAAUUAUUUGGGGAAUACUAAGCAUCUUGAAUGUCUUAUUGGAAUGUUAUAAGUUAUUUGGGUUCGCGUACCAGUCGUAAAACUGCCUUCAACUAGGAUUGCAUUUGCGCUAAUAUUGAUCAUAAUGAAGCAUUGUUACUGUUUUCGAGGUUGUUAUUAACAAAAAGAGUUUAUUUCGCUUGUUUAGUCACCAAGAAAGUGAAUGUCGUUCUGGAAUUUUGUAUGUGAUUAGGUUCCGCUUGCCAGUAGCAAAACUUCCUCCACUAAGGGUGACAGCUGCGCUUCUCUCGAGCAUGAGAAAGUAAUGCAACUUUUAUCGAGGCCAGUAAUAUUAACUGAAGCGUUUCUUUUGAGAAUAGUGCAAAAUGAUGAGAAGUGUUUAUAUUCCCAGUAGUCUCAAGCCACCAAUGUAUGGCUCUGUAUGCAUCUUAUGGCGAACGCUUGUUUGGCGCUUGGUUUACGUUUUACGAACGAUGCCUAGAGGUGCGAUUCUUUUGAGGCAAUACUAAAUAACAUGUAGCAUGAUAUUUGAUACUUGCAAGUGUUGUCAUUGUUGUUGUUUCCAUGAGGUGCCAAAGAUAUAUUGAUGUAGUUAUGAGAUGUGGAGUAAUGGUGCUGGUGUAACGAGUAUUUAAUCGACUGUAGCCGAGUAUAUGUCAAUUCCGAACAAGGCCAGGGUAAAUUUUCAAUGCAUUGACAUGAAAUAAAUUGCGACAUACGAUCAGCUAGUGUAUUGUUUUGCGAGGGCAAGAAUGAAUUAUCAAUCAAUUAUCCUCAACUGAUUCUACAACGAAAAAACCCACUUCAGAGAUUAUUCUACUAAGCGGUUGUUUCUAAAAUUUCACAGCAUUAUAGAAUAAUAUCCCAAGGUAUAAACGAGCAACUUAUAUAAAAUAACAGCGUUGUUCUACGUCAACAAUGCGGUCGUAUCUUGGACACAACCUCCUAUAAUUUUUUUUGCUUGAGCAGUGGUCUUAAUGUUUUUCCCGACACUGUAUAUAUAAAAAUGAAUUGCUCUCUGUUACUAGACCGAUCAACGUGAAAAUUGGUUUGUAGGGGUUUUUGGGUGCUCCCGUGGCCGACUGGUUAGAGUCCCACAUUAUCAUGCCGGGGGUUCGGGUUCGAUUCCCGUUCUGGCCGGGGGUUUCUUCGCCAAAGAAACUUCUUCCGACUCGCACUGUGGUCACGCGUAUUCUAGAGUUUGCCACUCCAGAAUACAUUCAAGGCGUGUUUUUCGGCAUAGAAAUCUCAACUAAGUACAAGUAAUAAAUAUGACGCAAGCCAAAGUUCCACUGGGAACGUUAGUGUCAUCCGAGAAGAGAGAAAAGGGUUUUUGGAGCCGGGGAAGGUUCUUAGGAUGGUUUGAAACCCCUCCCUCUCUCUAAGGGGGGGUUUCCAAACAAAUGAAACACAAAUUUCUAUAAAACUCGAGAACUUAUCAAGCAAAUGGAGCCAAAUUUGGCAUGUGAGGGUAUUUGGGUACGAGAAAUGUUUCUGUGGGUCCCAUAAACAUGUUAUACAAAUUCCAACCAAACAUGACAAUUGAAAAUUUUCGGAAAUCUCUAAAAGAUAAUGGAAAAAUGUGAAAAUUGAAUUACCAUAUGUUUUACAAUUAUAUCGUGACAUGAGUUGUUAGGCCAUUUGGAAGUGGAAAUGGUAUUUCAGGUGAAAAAACGCACUCCUAUAUCUUGUAACUAUAUAACUAGAAACGAAUCGCCAAACGUGAUGGGAAACUCAAGGAAGCAAUCGUCCGAUUGGAUGAGUAUUCUUUUUAUUAUAUUUUCUGUAUAAAACAUGUAUUCCAUGUAACGGAGAGGCAUGUUUUUGCAAGUGAUUGAAAAAUAUUGAACGAGAAUUGUGUCUGAAAAUAACUUGAUAUUAUAAUGAAGAAUUUUGGUAGAAGAACUAGGAAAUUUAUAUUAAUUAUUAUAUUGCAGAGGGUCUAUUAGAAGAUCAAUCAAUGAACAGUUCUGCGACCCGAUUGGAUCAUCUAAAUCGGUUCAGUAGUUCAAAUGUUAUGAAUUUUUGUAGCUGAAAAACUAGAAAAAAAUAGAUUCGAUUAACUUUGAAAAAUCAUAACUCAAAAACGAAAAAAAUAGUAUUUCCGAUGUCGAGAUAUGUUAUGUAAAAAAUCCUCAGCUUCCAAAAAAAAAUAUAAAAAAUAUAGCACCCUCUAGUUCAAAGCCAUGAAAACAAUAAAAAACGACUACUACUAGUAAUAGUGAAAAUAAAAUCCAUUUUCCUCGCUGGCUCAAUAUUUUUUUUAAAUAAGAGACUAGCUCAUUGGCUUCAAUUUGAUAUGUCGAUCAUCUAAAUCGGUUCAGUGGUUCAAAAACUAUGAUUUUUUGAACCAUACUAAAAUGGAAAUGUUUGCAAAAAGCCAUUUUUGGAUAAAGGAGAUAAAAUGAUUUUUCGAACCACCGAUGGAUAUUUAAAAAUCAUAUCUGAAAACGAAAAAAAAAUGCAUUUUGGUAUAGAGAAAUGUUAUGUAAAAAAUACACAGCCUUUCAUAAAAAUAUAGAAAAAUAUAGCGCCCUCUAGUCCAAGACA